RNAcentral lists this long non-coding RNA (365 nucleotides) under Vitis vinifera (wine grape). RNAcentral describes it as "long non-coding RNA (VVIN_LNC003905)". Lineage: Eukaryota; Viridiplantae; Streptophyta; Magnoliopsida; Vitales; Vitaceae. The record is from RNAcentral.
CACGGUUCUCGCGUUGUGGGGAUUCAGCAUAAACUUGCCCCUGGUCUCUCACAUCUCUAAAUAUUGAAAGAAAUGAGUUGAGGCCUUCAGAAGAAGCACCCCCUAAGAUCCAUAGCAACAGAGAGCUGAAAGAGUUCAUGGUCCCAGGGUUGGCACCAGUUUCUGCCUGUCGGAGCUCUGGUUGUCCUGGAAUCUGGAGAUUGCCUCCUCUACUUAGGUUGUCAUUUUCUGAUCCUUCUUGAUAUAGUCCGGGAGCUCCUGCUGCACCAUUUGCUGGCAUUGCUGGAUCAGGGCCAGGUCUCAAACCAGGUCCUGGCAUAACCUCUGUGUUAACUGGACCUGGGUUCCUCGUGUUUAAUCUUGUG